AGUGAACGCUGGCGGUAGGCCUAACACAUGCAAGUCGAACGGCAGCACAGUAAGAGCUUGCUCUUACGGGUGGCGAGUGGCGGACGGGUGAGGAAUACAUCGGAAUCUACUUUUUCGUGGGGGAUAACGUAGGGAAACUUACGCUAAUACCGCAUACGACCUACGGGUGAAAGCAGGGGAUCUUCGGACCUUGCGCGAUUGAAUGAGCCGAUGUCGGAUUAGCUAGUUGGCGGGGUAAAGGCCCACCAAGGCGACGAUCCGUAGCUGGUCUGAGAGGGUGAACCAGCAAACUGGAAAUGAGGCACGGUCCAAGACCCCAAGGGGAGGCGCAGUGGGGAAUAUUGGACAAUGGGCGCAAGCCUGAUCCAGCCCUACCGCGUGGGUGAAGAAGGCCUUCGGGUUGUAAAGCCCUUUUGUUGGGAAAGAAAAGCAGCAGGUUAAUACCCCGCUGUUCUGACGGUACCCAAAGAAUAAGCACCGGCUAACUUCGUG
RNAcentral lists this ribosomal RNA (492 nucleotides) under uncultured bacterium. RNAcentral's name for it is "partial 16S ribosomal RNA". It matches the Rfam family "Bacterial small subunit ribosomal RNA", at positions 29 to 507 of the family's 1533-position model. The record is from RNAcentral.